GUUCUCUGUCUUCAUAUUAUCAACAACCUUAUGCUGCUCUUUGACUUCUAAGGAAAUAUUAAAUUUCUCAUUGGCCAGUCCUUGCUCCAUAACAAUGAAAUAUCAAAUUUAUCUCUGGGUGUGUGGCAGGGGUCGGGCACCACCUGUCAGGGACUGGCUAAGGGCUCCAUCUCCAAGGAGUCCCCCUUGGAGGUCUUCACCAUGGGUUCCACACAAGAGAUGAUCUCACAGGAAGCUAUUUUGGAAAUCCCUAAUAUCAAUGUGUGGGACAGAUGGCUGGGGCAGCCCUUCCAAUUUCUUGCUUUCCUUUGUAAAAUUCAAGACUCCAAAUAGAGACCAAUAGUGCUGGCAAGACAUCCUCCUUUAGUAGUUCAAUGAUUUCACCAAAUUCCCUCAUCACGGGUGAAUCGCUGGUCAUAGAAGAUCACAAAAGUACCCAUCUAUGUGGCCACGAGCACCAGAUGAAAGUAAUAUUGUUUGUUUGUCCACAACUGGUAAGACAUCACCCUGAAUUUUUUUCUUAACCAUUUACCAAGAUUAUUGACAUUAUUGAGUAGUUGUAGAGUUGAUAUUUAUUGAACUAUGUUGUGGUUAUGGAAUUUGGCUCCUUCUUGAAGAAGUUUGGGAAAGAAGAAAUUUCUCUUGCUCAGAAUGAGUAUUCUAAAAUGUUUUGUGCCUGUGAUCAAGUAAAGUAAGUGGACCAUAUCCAGGUGGUCAGUAAGGAUUGACUAAGAGAAUGAGUGAAGAAGGAAAGGGGACUUGAUGUUAAGUAAAUGGUAAAAACCUUGCAAUUUUUUUUUUAGAAAAAAUCUAGUAUGCUAAUACCUGUUCAUCAAGAGAGAAAUGUCUGUAAGCCUAAACGUGGGUAAUAGGACCUAUUACUUUCCCUAAAAGUAAAAAUGAGAGGGAGAGAGAGAGAGAGAAAGAGAGAGAGAGAGAGAGAGAGAGAGAGAGAGAGAGAGAGAGAGGAAACAAUUAGAAAAAAUGAUAAAUUUCUAAGUAUUUUGUAUUCCUUUAAAAAUUCAAUUAUUGAAAUAUCUCAUAAAUUACAUUUAAAUCCAGGCAUGUCAUCAAUUAACUUGAAAUGUCAGGUUCUAACCUAACAAGAUAGCUUUAAGUCACGUGUCCCUAAUGAACUGUACUAGUGUCUCAAUACUUAAAGCCUACGAAGUUCCCAGCAUUGAGUUGGUACACUCAGAAUGUGUAAAGGUCAUUCCAAAUUUAUGAAAGAAUCAGAUUGUCAAGAUGAAUCAGGAAAAUUCCAAGAAAGAAUCAGUUUUAUUUUUCCAUCUUAGAAAACAUGUGGUAUCUUUGACAAAUGAGAGUCACACUGAGUUCCUGUAAGAGUCACUUAACAAGAAAGAUCCUGCCAUUGUUCUUCAUACCAUGGAGCUGCAGAGAAUUCAGUGUGAUACCCUGGUAUUGUUUUCCUGGCACAAAAUGUAAGAGAUUGUGAGGAUAAAAUCUAGACAAUAAGUUUCCUUUGGCAACAACAUUUUAGUAUCCGACCUUAAGGGGCCACCAAAGCUGUAAAUCAGAGAAAUCAAUUCUUCAAUGUAGCUGUUUUAAGAAGCACUGGUAUUUUGACAGCUCCUAGUAAAUUCGGACUUUUUUUUUUUUGUAGGUAAAAUGUUCUAUAACUUUAUAUGCUAGUAUAAAGCAAGAUUAGUAGACUUGAUAAUGUUAAAUUUUAAAGGCAGAUUUCUCUACCCCCAAUCAAUAAAAUUUCUCUACCCCCAUCCAAUUUUGAGAAUCCCUUCUAUUCUGGGGUUGUGAUUGUGUGAUCUGAAGUUAUUUCUGGGUUCCUCUAAGUACUGUAAAUAACUUGCUGGAAGAAGUAAGUAUGUGUAGCAAAUGUUGCUUUUUAAAAAUAAAAAGAACUUUAUUAUUUUUCUUAGUAGAAAAAUGUUCUCUGUUCACUGUAAA
RNAcentral lists this long non-coding RNA (1926 nucleotides) under Marmota monax (woodchuck). Lineage: Eukaryota; Metazoa; Chordata; Mammalia; Rodentia; Sciuridae. The record is from RNAcentral.